This 231-nucleotide unclassified non-coding RNA is filed under the name uncultured fungus. RNAcentral's name for it is "sequence contains ITS1". The record is from RNAcentral. Lineage: Eukaryota; Fungi.
UUGGUUUUUAUUUGUUUAGAUAAACUCAGACGACACGUUUUGACAAGAGUUUUAAUAGGGCCAUCGACAGGCGCGGGCCCGGGGCGGUGAAACGCCCCCGGCGGCCACCCGUUUCCGGGCGGCGGGCCUGCCGAAGCAACAAAAUAGGUCAAGUAAGCAAAGGGUUGGAGGUCGGGCGCGACGAGGCACCCUAACUCGGUAAUGAUCCUUCCGCAGGUUCACCUACGGAAA